This 629-nucleotide ribosomal RNA is filed under the name Serratia marcescens. RNAcentral's name for it is "partial 23S ribosomal RNA". It matches the Rfam family "Bacterial large subunit ribosomal RNA", at positions 1 to 673 of the family's 2925-position model. The record is from RNAcentral. Lineage: Bacteria; Pseudomonadati; Pseudomonadota; Gammaproteobacteria; Enterobacterales; Yersiniaceae.
GGUUAAGUGACUAAGCGUACACGGUGGAUGCCUAGGCAGUCAGAGGCGAUGAAGGGCGUGCUAAUCUGCGAAAAGCGUCGGUAAGGUGAUAUGAACCGUUAUAACCGGCGAUACCCGAAUGGGGAAACCCAGUGUGUUUCGACACACUAUCAUGUCAUGAAUACAUAGUGGCAUGAGGCGAACCGGGGGAACUGAAACAUCUAAGUACCCCGAGGAAAAGAAAUCAACCGAGAUUCCCCCAGUAGCGGCGAGCGAACGGGGAGGAGCCCAGAACCUGAAUCGGCUUGUGUGUUAGUGGAAGCGUCUGGAAAGUCGCGCAGCAAAGGGUGAUAGCCCCGUACACUAAAAUGCACAGGUCGUGAGUUCGAUGAGUAGGGCGGGACACGUGACAUCCUGUCUGAAUAUGGGGGGACCAUCCUCCAAGGCUAAAUACUCCUGACUGACCGAUAGUGAACCAGUACCGUGAGGGAAAGGCGAAAAGAACCCCGGCGAGGGGAGUGAAAUAGAACCUGAAACCGUGUACGUACAAGCAGUGGGAGCACCUUCGUGGUGUGACUGCGUACCUUUUGUAUAAUGGGUCAGCGACUUAUAUUUUGUAGCAAGGUUAACCGUAUAGGGGAGCCGUAGGG